Molecule: ribosomal RNA, 406 nt
Filed under: uncultured bacterium
Lineage: Bacteria
Description: partial 16S ribosomal RNA
Rfam family: Bacterial small subunit ribosomal RNA
Source: RNAcentral
AUUGAACGCUGGCGGCAGGCCUAACACAUGCAAGUCGAACGAGUGGCGGACGGGUGAGUAAUGUCUGGGACACUGCUUGAUGGAGGGGGAUACCUACUGGAAACGGUAGCUAAUACCGCUUACCUUCCGAUGUGCCCUGAUGGGAUUGGCUAGUAGGUGGGGUAAAGGCUCACCUAGGCGACGAUCCCUAGCUGAUCUGAGAGGCUGCACAGCCACACUGGAACUGAGACACGGUCCAGACUCCUACGGGAGGCAGCAGUGGGGAAUAUUGCGCAAUGGGCGCAAGCCUGAUGCAGCCAUGCCGCGUGAAUGAAGAAGGUCUUCGGGUUGUAAAGUACUGUCAGCAGGGAGGCGUUACCCAAAGAAAAAGCACCGGCUAACUCCGUGCCAGCAGCCGCGGUAAUUC